UACAGAGGUCUCAAGCGUUGUUCGGAUUCAUUGGGCGUAAAGGGCGCGUAGGCGGCUUGCACAGUCAGGCGUGAAAUUCCUGGGCUCAACCUGGGGACUGCGCUUGAGACGUGUGGGCUUGAGUGGGGAAGAGGGUCGUGGAAUUCCCAGUGUAGAGGUGAAAUUCGUAGAUAUUGGGAAGAACACCGGUGGCGAAGGCGGCGACCUGGUCCUUGACUGACGCUGAGGCGCGAAAGCGUGGGGAGCAAACAGG
Molecule: ribosomal RNA, 253 nt
Filed under: uncultured bacterium
Lineage: Bacteria
Description: partial 16S ribosomal RNA
Rfam family: Bacterial small subunit ribosomal RNA
Source: RNAcentral